CUCUAUGGGGCAGCUAUGGGUCGCUAUGGGGUUGCUAUGGGGCGGCUAUGGGUCGCAAUGGGGCGGCUAUGGGGUCGCUGUGGGUCGCUAUGGGGCGCUAAGGGGCAGCUAUGGGGUCACUAUGGCGUCUCUAUGGGGCGGCUGUGGGGUCGCUAUGGGGUGCAGUGGGGUUGCUAUGGGGCGGCUAUGGGGAGCUAUGGGGUCUCUGUGGGUGGCUGUGGGGCGCUAUGGGGUGGCUAUGGGGUCUCUGUGGGUCUCUAUGGGGUGGCUGUGGGGCAGCUAUGGGGCGGCUAUGGGGUGCAGUGGGGUCAGUAUGGGGCGGCUAUGGGCGCUAUGGGGUCUCUGUGGGUCGCUAUGGGGUGGCUAUGGGUCUCUGUGGGUCACUAUGGGGCAGCUAUGGAGCGGCUAUGGGGUGCAAUGGGGUCUCUAUGGGGCGCUAUGGGGCCUCUGUGGGUCGCUAUGGGGUCUCUAUGGGGCAGCUAUGGGUCGCGAUGAUCAGCUAUGGGUCGCUAUGGGGUUGCUAUGGGGCGCUAUGGGGUCUCUAUGGGGCAGCUAUGGGGUCUGUAUGGGGCAGCUAUGGGGCGCUAUGGGGCAGCUAUGGGGCGCUAUGGGUCUCUAUGGGGCGCUAUGGGGCAGCUAUGGGUCUCUAUGGGGCGCUAUGGGGUCUCUAUGGGGUCGUAUGGGGCGCUAUGGGGUGUCUGUGGGUUGCUAUGGGGCGCUAUGGGGCAGCUAUGGGUCUCUAUGGGGCGCUAUGGGGUCCUUGUAG
Molecule: long non-coding RNA, 766 nt
Filed under: Phasianus colchicus (ring-necked pheasant)
Lineage: Eukaryota; Metazoa; Chordata; Aves; Galliformes; Phasianidae
Description: lncRNA (ENSPCLG00000015198.1)
Source: RNAcentral